RNAcentral lists this ribosomal RNA (154 nucleotides) under Erpetoichthys calabaricus (reedfish). Its description in RNAcentral is "5.8S ribosomal RNA (ENSECRG00000001931.1)". It matches the Rfam family "5.8S ribosomal RNA". Rfam says of the family: 5.8S ribosomal RNA (5.8S rRNA) is a component of the large subunit of the eukaryotic ribosome. The record is from RNAcentral. Lineage: Eukaryota; Metazoa; Chordata; Cladistia; Polypteriformes; Polypteridae.
UACUCUUGGUGGUGGAUCACUCCGCUUAUGCAUCGAUGAAGGACACAACUAGCUGCAUGAACUAAUGUGAAUUGCAGGAUACAUUGAUCAUAGACACUUUGAACACACAUUGUGGCUCUGGAUCUUUUCCGGGGCUACGCCUGUCUGAGGGUCA